GCUGGGCGCGGUGGCUCACGCCUGUAAUCCCAGCACUUUGGGAGGCCGAGGCGGGUGGAUCACCUGAGGUCAGGAUUUUGAGACCAGCCUGGCCAACAUGGUGAAACCCCGUCUCUA
RNAcentral lists this non-coding RNA (117 nucleotides) under Macaca mulatta (Rhesus monkey). The record is from Rfam by way of RNAcentral. RNAcentral also lists the same sequence under 2 other names. Lineage: Eukaryota; Metazoa; Chordata; Mammalia; Primates; Cercopithecidae.